AAUAGCAAGUUAUAAUAAACUUUAUUAUACUCCAUUGAUUAAUUAGUGUGUUGAUGACUCUCAUACAUAAAUAAUACACCAACAUUAUACAAAUAGCAUUGUUGCAUCAUCAUUAGCACCAUGGGUUCACAGCAUGGAGGAACAUUUCCGUUGGAAGUAAGCUGAUGAAGCUGUGCCAUGGAUGAAUGAGAAGCAUAAAACGAUGAUCAAAACAUUUAGAAAUACUUAUGCUUGCAAAAAUAUUAGACUAGUGCAGCUACAUCUCUCAAUUUGAUCAAAGCCUUUAUUUUUAGGAAGAACGAGGCUGUUGCGAGGAGGAAU
This 321-nucleotide unclassified non-coding RNA is filed under the name Hevea brasiliensis (rubber tree). Lineage: Eukaryota; Viridiplantae; Streptophyta; Magnoliopsida; Malpighiales; Euphorbiaceae. The record is from RNAcentral.